This 468-nucleotide ribosomal RNA is filed under the name uncultured bacterium. Its description in RNAcentral is "partial 16S ribosomal RNA". It matches the Rfam family "Bacterial small subunit ribosomal RNA", at positions 28 to 507 of the family's 1533-position model. The record is from RNAcentral.
GACGAACGCUGGCGGCGUGCUUAACACAUGCAAGUCGAACGGAAAGGCCCUGCUUUUGUGGGGUGCUCGAGUGGCGAACGGGUGAGUAUCACGUGAGUAACCUGCCCUGGACUUUGGGAUAACUUCAGGAAACUGGGGCUAAUACCGGAUAGGAGCUCCUGCUGCAUGGUGGGGGUUGGAAAGUUUCGGCGGUUGGGGAUGGACUCGCGGCUUAUCAGCUUGUUGGUGGGGUAGUGGCUUACCAAGGCUUUGACGGGUAGCCGGCCUGAGAGGGUGACCGGCCACAUUGGGACUGAGAUACGGCCCAGACUCCUACGGGAGGCAGCAGUGGGGAAUAUUGCACAAUGGGCGGAAGCCUGAUGCAGCAACGCCGCGUGCGGGAUGACGGCCUUCGGGUUGUAAACCGCUUUCGCCUGUGACGAAGCGUGAGUGACGGUAAUGGGUAAAGAAGCACCGGCUAACUACGUG